AGUGAACGCUAGUGGCGUGCUUAACACAUGCAAGUCGAACGGACGAUAUUUGUGCUUGCACAAAUAAAGUUAGUGGCAAACGGGUGAGUAAUACAUGAGAAUUUUCCUUGCAGUACGGAAUAACUAUUGGAAACAGUAGCUAAUACCGUAUAUUGCCGAGAGGUGAAAGAUUUAUCGCUGCAAGAUAAGCCCAUGCAAGAUUAGCUUGUUGGUAAGGUAAUGGCUUACCAAGGCUACGAUCUUUAGCUGGUUUGAGAGGAUGAUCAGCCACACUGGAACUUAGACACGGACCAGACUCCUACGGGAGGCAGCAGUGAGGAAUAUUGGACAAUGGAGGCAACUCUGAUCCAGCCAUGCCGCGUGCAGGAAGACUGCCCUAUGGGUUGUAAACUGCUUUUAUACAGGAAGAAUUGCAUCUACGUGUAGUUGCUUGACGGUACUGUACGAAUAAGGAUCGGCUAACUCCGUGCCAGCCGCCGCCGUAACAC
RNAcentral lists this ribosomal RNA (488 nucleotides) under uncultured bacterium. RNAcentral describes it as "bacterial SSU rRNA". It matches the Rfam family "Bacterial small subunit ribosomal RNA", at positions 29 to 526 of the family's 1533-position model. The record is from RNAcentral.